This 274-nucleotide ribosomal RNA is filed under the name uncultured bacterium. RNAcentral's name for it is "partial 16S ribosomal RNA". It matches the Rfam family "Bacterial small subunit ribosomal RNA", at positions 523 to 796 of the family's 1533-position model. The record is from RNAcentral.
AUACGGAGGGUGCAAGCGUUACUCGGAAUCACUGGGCGUAAAGCGCGCGCAGGCGGCUAUUUAAGUUGGAUGUGAAAGCCUACGGCUCAACCGUAGAACUGCAUCCAAAACUAUUUAGCUAGAGUGUGGGAGAGGAAGAUGGAAUUAGUUGUGUAGGGGUAAAAUCCGUAGAGAUACCUAGGAAUACCAAAAGCGAAGGCAAUCUUCUGGAACACUACUGACGCUCAGGCGCGAAAGCGUGGGGAGCAAACGGGAUUAGAUACCCUAGUAGUCC